AUUGAACGCUGGCGGCAGGCCUAACACAUGCAAGUCGAACGGUAACAGGAAGACGCUUGCUUCUUUGCUGACGAGUGGCGGACGGGUGAGUAAUGUCUGUGAAACUGCCUGAUGGAGGGGGAUAACUACUGGAAACGGUAGCUAAUACCGCAUAACGUCGCAAGACCAAAAAGGGGGACCUUCGGGCCUCUUGCCAUCGGAUGUGCCCAGAUGGCAUUAGCUAGUAGGUGGGGUAACGGCUCACCUAGUCGACGAUCCAUAGCUGGUCUGAGAGGAUGACCAGCCACACUGGAACUGAGACACGGUCCAGACUCCUACGGGAGGCAGCAGUGGGGAAUAUUGCACAAUGGGCGCAAGCCUGAUGCAGCCAUGCCGCGUGUAUGAAGAAGGCCUUCGGGUUGUAAAGUACUUUCAGCGGGGAGGAAGGGAGUAAAGUUAAUACCUUUGCUCAUUGACGUUACCCGAAGAAGAAGCACCGGCUAACUCCGUG
RNAcentral lists this ribosomal RNA (490 nucleotides) under uncultured bacterium. RNAcentral's name for it is "partial 16S ribosomal RNA". It matches the Rfam family "Bacterial small subunit ribosomal RNA", at positions 30 to 507 of the family's 1533-position model. The record is from RNAcentral.